GCGGCAGGCUUAACACAUGCAAGUCGAGCGGAGAUGAGGUGCUUGCACCUUAUCUUAGCGGCGGACGGGUGAGUAAUGCUUAGGAAUCUGCCUAUUAGUGGGGGACAACAUUCCGAAAGGAAUGCUAAUACCGCAUACGUCCUACGGGAGAAAGCAGGGGAUCUUCGGACCUUGCGCUAAUAGAUGAGCCUAAGUCGGAUUAGCUAGUUGGUGGGGUAAAGGCCUACCAAGGCGACGAUCUGUAGCGGGUCUGAGAGGAUGAUCCGCCACACUGGGACUGAGACACGGCCCAGACUCCUACGGGAGGCAGCAGUGGGGAAUAUUGGACAAUGGGGGGAACCCUGAUCCAGCCAUGCCGCGUGUGUGAAGAAGGCCUUAUGGUUGUAAAGCACUUUAAGCGAGGAGGAGGCUACUGAGACUAAUACUCUUGGAUAGUGGACGUUACUCGCAGAAUAAGCACCGGCUAACUCUGUGCCAGCAGCCGCGGUAAUACAGAGGGUGCGAGCGUUAAUCGGAUUUACUGGGCGUAAAGCGUGCGUAGGCGGCUUUUUAAGUCGGAUGUGAAAUCCCCGAGCUUAACUUGGGAAUUGCAUUCGAUACUGGGAAGCUAGAGUAUGGGAGAGGAUGGUAGAAUUCCAGGUGUAGCGGUGAAAUGCGUAGAGAUCUGGAGGAAUACCGAUGGCGAAGGCAGCCAUCUGGCCUAAUACUGACGCUGAGGUACGAAAGCAUGGGGAGCAAACAGGAUUAGAUACCCUGGUAGUCCAUGCCGUAAACGAUGUCUACUAGCCGUUGGGGCCUUUGAGGCUUUAGUGGCGCAGCUAACGCGAUAAGUAGACCGCCUGGGGAGUACGGUCGCAAGACUAAAACUCAAAUGAAUUGACGGGGGCCCGCACAAGCGGUGGAGCAUGUGGUUUAAUUCGAUGCAACGCGAAGAACCUUACCUGGCCUUGACAUACUAGAAACUUUCCAGAGAUGGAUUGGUGCCUUCGGGAAUCUAGAUACAGGUGCUGCAUGCCUGUCGUCAGCUCGUGUCGUGAGAUGUUGGGUUAAGUCCCGCAACGAGCGCAACCCUUUUCCUUACUUGCCAGCAUUUCGGAUGGGAACUUUAAGGAUACUGCCAGUGACAAACUGGAGGAAGGCGGGGACGACGUCAAGUCAUCAUGGCCCUUACGGCCAGGGCUACACACGUGCUACAAUGGUCGGUACAAAGGGUUGCUACACAGCGA
RNAcentral lists this ribosomal RNA (1226 nucleotides) under Acinetobacter junii. Its description in RNAcentral is "bacterial SSU rRNA". It matches the Rfam family "Bacterial small subunit ribosomal RNA", at positions 39 to 1260 of the family's 1533-position model. The record is from RNAcentral. Lineage: Bacteria; Pseudomonadati; Pseudomonadota; Gammaproteobacteria; Moraxellales; Moraxellaceae.